CGUAAACGAUGAUAACUAGCUGUUGGGGCUCUUGGAGCUCCAGUGGCGCAGCUAACGCAUUAAGUUAUCCGCCUGGGGAGUACGGCCGCAAGGUUAAAACUCAAAGGAAUUGACGGGGGCCUGCACAAGCGGUGGAGCAUGUGGUUUAAUUCGAAGCAACGCGCAGAACCUUACCAGCGUUUGACAUGCCUGGACGGUUUCCAGAGAUGGAUUCCUUCUCGCAAGAGACUAGGACACAGGUGCUGCAUGGCUGUCGUUAGCUCGUGUCGUGAGAUGUUGGGUUAAGUCCCGCAACGAGCGCAACCCUCGCCUUUAGUUACCAUCAUUCAGUUGGGGACUCUAAAGGAACCGCCGGUGAUAAGCCGGGGGAAGGUGGGGAUGACGUCAAGUCCUCAUGGCCCUUACACGCUGGGCUACACACGUGCUACAAUGGCGGUGACAAUGGGCUGCAAACCCGCGAGGGUGAGCUAAUCUCAAAAAGCCGUCUCAGUUCGGAUUGUUCUCUGCAACUCGAGAGCAUGAAGGCGGAAUCGCUAGUAAUCGCGGAUCAGCAUGCCGCGGUGAAUACGUUCCCAGGCCUUGUACACACCGCCCGUCACACCAUGGGAGUUGGAUUGACCCGAAGGCAGUGGGCUAACCCGCAAGGGAGGCAGCUGACCACGGUCGGUUCAGUGACUGGGGU
Molecule: ribosomal RNA, 682 nt
Filed under: uncultured bacterium
Lineage: Bacteria
Description: bacterial SSU rRNA
Rfam family: Bacterial small subunit ribosomal RNA
Source: RNAcentral